CACGUGGAGUGUGGCCCUGUGGGCAAGGGCUGGGCUCUUGGAGGUAGGGGAGCUACAGGGGCGACUGGGAGGAGGAUGUUGUGUUACACACGCAUCAGAGUUAACUUUGCAGUGAGAGCGGCCUUGCUGCGGCCAAAGAACAUGGAAAAGCAUGAGUGGGGUGAUGUGCCUUAAAGCAUCAGACACUUGGGCCUCGGGCAUCAGGAGCCAGCCACAGGGAUGUCUGGGGAAAUGGCGUUCCAUGAGAUGCAAGCACACAAGAAUGCACUUGGCACAUCUGGGGAACAGCAGGCAGCUGAUAUCACUGGGCCCACCCCGCACCAGGGAGGAUGGAAGCAGGUGAGGAGCUAGACCACACUGAGGCGGUGGUCGGGACUCAGAGUUUGCUCAGUGAGCCGUUCACUAGGUGCAGGGGCAGUUCCCCGUCUGAAUUUAGGUGACGACACUCAGGUCCAGCCUUGCCAGUCUCAGCCUCCGGUCUCCGUUCCCCCUCUGCAGAGGUCACUUUGUCUGCUGCACGUGAUCAUGAGGGGUUGUGAAGUGCUUGCCCCAUCAGUAGCCAUGUGUGCAUGUGUAAAUACCAUCCUCUGUGUGCCCUGGAGGCUGUCCUUCAGAUAGCAUGUACAGGUGGCAGCAUAGGGCCUGUCCCUAGUGAGAGUGCAGGGAACUCAGCACCGUCAACUCCUCGACCCUGCAGGUCAGAUUAUCCUUGUAGAGGCCCCCUGGAUGGCACCAAGAUCGGCCCUGGCAAGCAGGUGACCCUGACUUCAGAGCCCUUGCCUGAGGGCCUGGCCUGGCAGCUCUGCUGUUAGAAGCAGGAGGUGUGCAGGGGGUGGGGAGCAGCCCAGCCUCUGUGAUCUUCUCCAUGGCAGGAUCUCCCAGCAGGUAGAGCAGAGCCGGAGCCAGGUGCAGGCCAUUGGAGAGAAGGUCUCCUUGGCCCAGGCCAAGAUUGAGAAGAUCAAGGGCAGCAAGAAGGCCAUCAAGGUGUUCUCCAGUGCCAAGUACCCUGCUCCAGAGCGCCUGCAGGAAUAUGGCUCCAUCUUCACCGACGCCCAGGACCCUGGCCUGCAGAGACGCCCCCGCCACAGGAUCCAGAGCAAGCAGCGCCCCCUGGACGAGCGGGCCCUGCAAGAGAAGCUGAAGGACUUUCCUGUGUGCGUGAGCACCAAGCCAGAGCCCGAGGACGAUGCAGAAGAGGGACUUGGGGGUCUUCCCAGCAACAUCAGCUCUGUCAGCUCCUUGCUGCUCUUCAACACCACCGAGAACCUGUAUGGCCAGAAGGCAGGGCCGAGGGGUGUGGGCGGUAGGCCCGGCCUGGCUUAGUGGGGACCCAGGGCAUCAGACACAGGUACAGCACAUAGCCCAGGAGCCAGGGGGUGACUGGGGUGGCUCGGCUCGGGAGGCCUGGGACCCCACAGUGCACACUGUGCCCCUGAUGAUGUGGGAGAGGAACAUGGGCUCAGGACAGCGGGUGUCAGCUUGCCUGACCCCCAUGUCGCCUCUGUAGGUACAAGAAGUAUGUCUUCCUGGACCCCCUGGCUGGUGCUGUAACAAAGACCCAUGUGAUGCUGGGGGCAGAGACAGAGGAGAAGCUGUUUGAUGCCCCCUUGUCCAUCAGCAAGAGAGAGCAGCUGGAACAGCAGGUCCCAGAGAACUACUUCUAUGUGCCAGACCUGGGCCAGGUGCCUGAGAUUGAUGUUCCAUCCUACCUGCCUGACCUGCCCGGCAUUGCCAACGACCUCAUGUACAUUGCCGACCUGGGCCCCGGCAUUGCCCCCUCUGCCCCUGGCACCAUUCCAGAACUGCCCACCUUCCACACUGAGGUAGCCGAGCCUCUCAAGACCUACAAGAUGGGGUACUAACACCACCCCCACCGCCCCCACCACCACCCCCAGCUCCUGAGGUGCUGGCCAGUGCACCCCCACUCCCACCCUCAACCGCGGCCCCUGUAGGCCAAGGCGCCAGGCAGGACGACAGCAGCAGCAGCGCAUCUCCUUCAGUCCAGGGAGCUCCCAGAGAAGUGGUCGACCCCUCCGGUGGCUGGGCCACUCUGCUAGAGUCCAUCCGCCAAGCUGGGGGCAUCGGCAAGGCCAAGCUGCGCAGCAUGAAGGAGCGAAAGCUGGAGAAGCAGCAGCAGAAGGAGCAGGAGCAAGUGAGAGCCACGAGCCAAGGUGGGCACUUGAUGUCGGAUCUCUUCAACAAGCUGGUCAUGAGGCGCAAGGGUAGGAGGCAGGGCCGCUGCCCACCCUGGGCCGGCACAUUGUAAUUCUGUCCUGCCUUUUUCUUCCUGUAUUUAAGUCUCCGGGGGCUGGGGGAACCAGGGUUUCCCACCAACCACCCUCACUCAGCCUUUUCCCUCCAGGCAUCUCUGGGAAAGGACCUGGGGCUGGUGACGGGCCCGGAGGAGCCUUUGCCCGCGUGUCAGACUCCAUCCCUCCUCUGCCGCCACCGCAGCAGCCACAGGCAGAGGACGAGGACGACUGGGAAUCGUAGGGGGCUCCAUGACACCUUCCCCCCCAGACCCAGACUUGGCCGUUGCUCUGACAUGGACACAGCCAGGACAAGCUGCUCAGACCUGCUUCCCUGGGAGGGGGUGACGGAACCAGCACUGUGUGGAGACCAGCUUCAAGGAGCGGAAGGCUGGCUUGAGGCCACACAGCUGGGGCGGGGACUUCUGUCUGCCUGUGCUCCAUGGGGGGACGGCUCCACCCAGCCUGCGCCACUGUGUUCUUCUCUUAAGAGGCUUCCAGAGAAAACGGCACACCAAUCAAUAAAGAACUGAGCAGAAA
This 2789-nucleotide long non-coding RNA is filed under the name Homo sapiens (human). Its description in RNAcentral is "non-protein coding lnc-POLR3K-3:2". The record is from RNAcentral. Lineage: Eukaryota; Metazoa; Chordata; Mammalia; Primates; Hominidae.